Molecule: long non-coding RNA, 1090 nt
Filed under: Salmo salar (Atlantic salmon)
Lineage: Eukaryota; Metazoa; Chordata; Actinopteri; Salmoniformes; Salmonidae
Description: lncRNA (ENSSSAG00000121484.1)
Source: RNAcentral
GUUCAACAGCCCAGAGGGAGUUAGGUUCAACAGCCCAGAGAGAGUUAGGUUCAACAGCCCAGAGGGAGUUAGGUUCAACAGCCCAGAGGGAGUUAGGUUCAACAGCCCAGAGGGAGUUAGGUUCAACAGCAUGUCAACCCAAGACAAAGCCAAGAGGGAGUUAGGUUCAACAGCCCAGAGAGAGUUAGUUUCAACAGCCCAGAGGGAGUUAGGUUCAACAGCCCAGAGAGAGUUAGGUUCAACAGCCCAGAGGGAGUUAGGUUCAACAGCCCAGAGGGAGUUAGGUUCAACAGCAUGUCAACCCUCACACGCCUUGUGCUUGUUCUGUGUAAAUGUGUGUGUGUGUAAAUGUUUGUGUGUGGUGUGUGUGUGUGUGUGUGUGUGUAAAUGUUUUUGCGGUGUGUGUGUGUGUAAAUGUUUUUGCGGUGUGUGUGUGUGUAAAUGUUUUUGCGGUGUGUGUGUGUGUGUGUAAAUGUUUGUGUGGUGUUUGUGUGGUGUGUGUGUGUAAAUGUUUGUGUGGUGUGUGUGUGUAAAUGUUUGUGUGGUGUGUGUGUAAAUGUUUUUGCGGUGUGUGUGUAAAUGUUUUUGCGGUGUGUGUGUACAUGUUUUUGCGGUGUGUGUGUAAAUGUUUUUGCGGCGUGUGUGUGUGUGUGUGUGUAAAUGUUUAUGUGGUGUGUGUGUGUAAAUGUUUAUGUGGUGUGUGUGUGUGUAAAUGUUUGUGUGGUGUGUGUGUGUGUAAAUGUUUUUGCGGUGUGUGUGUGUGUAAAUGUUUUUGCGGUGUGUGUGUGUGUGUAAAUGUUUGUGUGGUGUGUGUGUGUGUGUGUAAAUGUUUGUGUGGUGUGUGUGUAAAUGUUUUUGCGGUGUGUGUGUAAAUGUUUUUGCGGCGUGUGUGUGUGUGUGUAAAUGUUUAUGUGGUGUGUGUGUGUGUGUGUGUGUGUGUGUGUGUGUGUGUGUGUGUGUGUGUGUGUGUGUGUGUGUGUGUGUUGGCAUGUUAGUAGAACAACAUUGAGAACAACAGUCAGUAUAACUGUAUAAUAUAGACUGGUCUGCAACAGGAAAUAUACCUCCGUUAGACUUAUAUAGGCCUCGG